GCGCCAGUAGUCUAGCCUGGUAUAGCAAACGGGAAAGGACACGAGCUUCCCAAGCUCGUUGCGUGGGUUCAAAUCCCGCCUGGCGCA
RNAcentral lists this transfer RNA (87 nucleotides) under Candidatus Aenigmatarchaeota archaeon. RNAcentral's name for it is "tRNA-Gly". It matches the Rfam family "tRNA". From Rfam's summary of the family: Transfer RNA (tRNA) molecules are approximately 80 nucleotides in length. Lineage: Archaea; Nanobdellati; Candidatus Aenigmatarchaeota. The record is from RNAcentral.